UGGGAUAUAGCUCAGUUGGUAGAGUGCUUGUCUUGCAUGCAUAAGGAAGGCCCUGGGUUCAAUCCCCAGCACCACAC
This 77-nucleotide transfer RNA is filed under the name Ictidomys tridecemlineatus (thirteen-lined ground squirrel). Its description in RNAcentral is "Spermophilus tridecemlineatus (thirteen-lined ground squirrel) tRNA". It matches the Rfam family "tRNA". Rfam says of the family: Transfer RNA (tRNA) molecules are approximately 80 nucleotides in length. The record is from Rfam by way of RNAcentral. Lineage: Eukaryota; Metazoa; Chordata; Mammalia; Rodentia; Sciuridae.